This 253-nucleotide ribosomal RNA is filed under the name uncultured bacterium. RNAcentral's name for it is "partial 16S ribosomal RNA". It matches the Rfam family "Bacterial small subunit ribosomal RNA", at positions 524 to 776 of the family's 1533-position model. The record is from RNAcentral.
UACAGAGGUGGCAAGCGUUGUUCGGAAUUACUGGGCGUAAAGGGCGCGUAGGCGGCCUUCUAAGUCAGACGUGAAAUCCCCCGGCUUAACCUGGGAACUGCGUCUGAUACUGGGAGGCUAGAGUGCGGGAGAGGGAUGCGGAAUUCCAGGUGUAGCGGUGAAAUGCGUAGAUAUCUGGAGGAACACCGGUGGCGAAGGCGGCGUCCUGGACCGACACUGACGCUGAGGCGCGAAAGCUAGGGUAGCAAACGGG